This 442-nucleotide ribosomal RNA is filed under the name uncultured bacterium. RNAcentral describes it as "partial 16S ribosomal RNA". It matches the Rfam family "Bacterial small subunit ribosomal RNA", at positions 338 to 795 of the family's 1533-position model. The record is from RNAcentral.
CCUACGGGUGGCAGCAGUGGGGAAUAUUGCACAAUGGGCGAAAGCCUGAUGCAGCAACGCCGCGUGAAGGAAGAAGGGUUUCGGCUCGUAAACUUCUAUCAACAGGGACGAAAGAAAUGACGGUACUUGAAUAAGAAGCUCCGGCUAACUACGUGCCAGCAGCCGCGGUAAUACGUAGGGGGCAAGCGUUAUCCGGAAUUACUGGGUGAAAAGGGUGCGUAGGCGGUCCGGAAAGUCAGCGGUAAAAGCCCGGGGCUCAACCUCGGCGAGCCGUUGAAACUGUCGGACUAGAGACGGCGAGAGGGACGCAGAAUGCGCGGUGUAGCGGUGAAAUGCGUAGAGAUCGCGCGGAACUCCGAUUGCGAAGGCAGCGUACCGGAGCCGGACUGACGCUGAGGCGCGAAAGCGUGGGUAUCGAACAGGAUUAGAUACCCGAGUAGUC